Molecule: ribosomal RNA, 360 nt
Filed under: Bacillus cereus
Lineage: Bacteria; Bacillati; Bacillota; Bacilli; Caryophanales; Bacillaceae
Description: bacterial SSU rRNA
Rfam family: Bacterial small subunit ribosomal RNA
Source: RNAcentral
UUUAUUGGAGAGUUUGAUCCUGGCUCAGGAUGAACGCUGGCGGCGUGCCUAAUACAUGCAAGUCGAGCGAAUGGAUUAAGAGCUUGCUCUUAUGAAGUUAGCGGCGGACGGGUGAGUAACACGUGGGUAACCUGCCCAUAAGACUGGGAUAACUCCGGGAAACCGGGGCUAAUACCGGAUAACAUUUUGAACCACAUGGUUCGAAAUUGAAAGGCGGCUUCGGCUGUCACUUAUGGAUGGACCCGCGUCGCAUUAGCUAGUUGGUGAGGUAACGGCUCACCAAGGCAACGAUGCGUAGCCGACCUGAGAGGCUGACCGGCCACACUGGGACGGAGACACAGACCAGACCCCUACCGGAGG